AAAGUAUCCUAUGCCACUGCCAUGGACUGGUUCAUAGCUGUCUGCUUUGCCUUU
This is a non-coding RNA of Chelonia mydas (Green sea turtle), 54 nucleotides long. Lineage: Eukaryota; Metazoa; Chordata; Testudines; Cheloniidae. The record is from Rfam.